UCGAGAAUCUUCCGCAAUGGGCGCAAGCCUGACGGAGCGACGCCGCGUGCGGGAUGAAGGCCUUCGGGUUGUAAACCGCUGUCAGUAGGGAGCAAAUGCAUCAGGGCAAUCUCUGGUGUUUGAGCAAUCUGCAGAGGAAGUCCGGGCUAAGUACGUGCCAGCAGCCGCGGUAACACGUACCGGACGAACGUUAUUCGGAAUCACUGGGCUUAAAGAGUCCGUAGGCGGCUCGGUAGGUGAGGUGUGAAAUCCCACGGCUCAACCGUGGAACUGCGCUUCAAACCACCGGGCUUGAGGGAGAUAGAGGUGAGCGGAACUGAUGGUGGAGCGGUGAAAUGCGUUGAUAUCAUCAGGAACACCGGUGGCGAAAGCGGCUCACUGGGUCUCUUCUGACGCUGAGGGACGAAAGCUAGGGGAGCGAACGGG
Molecule: ribosomal RNA, 426 nt
Filed under: uncultured bacterium
Lineage: Bacteria
Description: bacterial SSU rRNA
Rfam family: Bacterial small subunit ribosomal RNA
Source: RNAcentral